Molecule: ribosomal RNA, 1198 nt
Filed under: Nocardia cyriacigeorgica
Lineage: Bacteria; Bacillati; Actinomycetota; Actinomycetes; Mycobacteriales; Nocardiaceae
Description: bacterial SSU rRNA
Rfam family: Bacterial small subunit ribosomal RNA
Source: RNAcentral
UGCAAGUCGAGCGGUAAGGCCCUUCGGGGUACACGAGCGGCGAACGGGUGAGUAACACGUGGGUGAUCUGCCUCGCACUCUGGGAUAAGCCUGGGAAACUGGGUCUAAUACCGGAUAUGACCUUACAUCGCAUGGUGUUUGGUGGAAAGAUUUAUCGGUGCGAGAUGGGCCCGCGGCCUAUCAGCUUGUUGGUGGGGUAAUGGCCUACCAAGGCGACGACGGGUAGCCGGCCUGAGAGGGCGACCGGCCACACUGGGACUGAGACACGGCCCAGACUCCUACGGGAGGCAGCAGUGGGGAAUAUUGCACAAUGGGCGAAAGCCUGAUGCAGCGACGCCGCGUGAGGGAUGACGGCCUUCGGGUUGUAAACCUCUUUCGACAGGGACGAAGCGCAAGUGACGGUACCUGUAGAAGAAGCACCGGCCAACUACGUGCCAGCAGCCGCGGUAAUACGUAGGGUGCGAGCGUUGUCCGGAAUUACUGGGCGUAAAGAGCUUGUAGGCGGCUUGUCGCGUCGAUCGUGAAAACUUGGGGCUCAACCCCAAGCUUGCGGUCGAUACGGGCAGGCUUGAGUACUUCAAGGGAGACUGGAAUUCCUGGUGUAGCGGUGAAAUGCGCAGAUAUCAGGAGGAACACCGGUGGCGAAGGCGGGUCUCUGGGAAGUAACUGACGCUGAGAAGCGAAAGCGUGGGUAGCGAACAGGAUUAGAUACCCUGGUAGUCCACGCCGUAAACGGUGGGUACUAGUGUGGGUUUCCUUCCACGGGAUCCGUGCCGUAGCUAACGCAUUAAGUACCCCGCCUGGGGAGUACGGCCGCAAGGCUAAAACUCAAAGAAAUUGACGGGGGCCCGCCACAAGCGCGGAGCAUGUGGAUUAAUUCGAUGCACGCGAAGAACCUUACCUGGUUUGACAUUACCACCGGGAAACCUGCAGAGAAUGUAAGCCCCCUUGUGGUCGUGUAACAGUUGUGCAUGCCUGUUCGUCAGCUCCUGUCGUGAGAUGUUGGAUUAAGUCUCCGCCAACGAGCGCGCAAACCUUUAUUCUUAAUGGUGCAGCGCCGUAAUUGGCCGGGACCUCUGAGAAGAACUGCGGGUCACACUCGAGAAGUGGGACGACGUCAGUUCAUACAUGGCCUAUGUCAAGCUUCCACUGCUCAAUGCCGUACAAAGGCUGCGAAUUACCGUUAAGUGAAGCGCAU